This 246-nucleotide ribosomal RNA is filed under the name uncultured bacterium. Its description in RNAcentral is "partial 16S ribosomal RNA". It matches the Rfam family "Bacterial small subunit ribosomal RNA", at positions 524 to 766 of the family's 1533-position model. The record is from RNAcentral.
UACGAAGGGGGCUAGCGUUGCUCGGAAUUACUGGGCGUAAAGCGCACGUAGGCGGUCUUUUUAAGUCGGGGGUGAAAUCCUGGAGCUCAACUCCAGAACUGCCUCGAUACUGGAAGACUUGAGUCCGGGAGAGGUGAGUGGAACUGCGAGUGUAGAGGUGAAAUUCGUAGAAUAUUCGCAAGAACACCAGUGGCGAAGGCGGCUCACUGGCCCGGUACUGACGCUGAGACGGCGAAAAGCGUGGGG